CCUACGGGUGGCAGCAGUGAGGAAUAUUGGUCAAUGGACGCGAGUCUGAACCAGCCAUGUCGCGUGCAGGAAGACGGCCCUAUGAGUUGUAAACUUCUUUUGUACGAGAGUAAACGCAGCUACGCGUGUCUGUCUGAAAGUAUCUUAUGAAUAAGGCUCGGCUAACUCCGUUCCAGCAGCCGCGGUAAUACGGAGGAUUCAAGCGUUAUCCGGAUUUCUUGGGGUUAAAGGGUGCGUAGGCGGUCUGAUAAGUUCGAGGUGAAAUCCCGAGGCUCAACCUCGUAAUUGCCAUUGAUACUGGCCGGCUUGAGAGGAGUUGCGGUAGGCGGAAUGUGUGGUGUAGCGGUGAAAUGCUUAGAUAUCAUACAGAACCCCGAUUGCGAAGGCAGCUUACCAAGCUACUUCUGACGUUGAGGCACGAAAGCGUGGGGAGCAAACAGGAUUAGAUACCCCAGUAGUC
RNAcentral lists this ribosomal RNA (460 nucleotides) under uncultured bacterium. RNAcentral's name for it is "partial 16S ribosomal RNA". It matches the Rfam family "Bacterial small subunit ribosomal RNA", at positions 338 to 795 of the family's 1533-position model. The record is from RNAcentral.